AAACUUUCAACAACGGAUCUCUUGGUUCUGGCAUCGAUGAAGAACGCAGCGAAAUGCGAUAAGUAAUGUGAAUUGCAGAAUUCAGUGAAUCAUCAAAUCUUUGAACGCACAUUGCGCCCCCUGGUAUUCCGGGGGGCAUGCCUGUUCGAGCGUCAUU
Molecule: ribosomal RNA, 157 nt
Filed under: Umbilicaria semitensis
Lineage: Eukaryota; Fungi; Ascomycota; Lecanoromycetes; Umbilicariales; Umbilicariaceae
Description: 5.8S ribosomal RNA
Rfam family: 5.8S ribosomal RNA
About the family: 5.8S ribosomal RNA (5.8S rRNA) is a component of the large subunit of the eukaryotic ribosome. It is transcribed by RNA polymerase I as part of the 45S precursor that also contains 18S and 28S rRNA. Functionally, it is thought that 5.8S rRNA may be involved in ribosome translocation.
Source: RNAcentral